RNAcentral lists this ribosomal RNA (320 nucleotides) under uncultured eukaryote. RNAcentral's name for it is "partial 18S ribosomal RNA". It matches the Rfam family "Eukaryotic small subunit ribosomal RNA", at positions 1470 to 1796 of the family's 1831-position model. The record is from RNAcentral.
CCCCUAGAUGUUCUGGGCCACACGCGCGUUACACUGAACAGUUCAACAAGUCUUAACCUUGGCCGAUAGGUCUGGGUAAUCUUUGAACGCUGUUCGUGAUUGGGAUAGACCUUUGCAAUUAUGGGUCUUCAACGAGGAAUUCCUAGUAAACGCAAGUCAUCAGCUUGCAUUGAUUACGUCCCUGCCCUUUGUACACACCGCCCGUCGCACCUACCGAUUGAAUGGUCCGGUGAAAUCUCGGGACGGCGGCUUGGUCGCUUGCGUCCGACUGCUGAAACUUGAUUAAACCAUAUCAUUUAGAGGAAGGUGAAGUCGUANCA